Molecule: long non-coding RNA, 2241 nt
Filed under: Homo sapiens (human)
Lineage: Eukaryota; Metazoa; Chordata; Mammalia; Primates; Hominidae
Description: non-protein coding ARNTL2-AS1:7
Source: RNAcentral
AUAACAGAGCUAAGGCUUUUGUAGAACAGUCAAACCUUGAAGAACACGGGUUUGAACUGCGAGAGUCCACUUAUAUGAGGGUUUUUGAAAAUAAAAGUUACCCCGAGUGUGCCUGCCUCUCCUGCCUUCCCUUCCACGUCCUCCACCUCUUCUGCCUCUGCCACCCCUGAGACAGCAAGACCAACCCCCGGCUUCUCCUCCUCAGUCUACUCAACCUGACGAUCACAAGGAUGAAGACCUUUAUGACUCACCUUUAUGAUUCACUUCCAACAUAGUAAAUAUGUUUUCUCUUCCUUAUGAUUUUCUUUAUGACAUUUUCUUUUCACUAGCUUACUUUACUGUAAAAAUAUGGUAUAUAAUACAAAUAACGUACAAAAUCUGUGUUAAUUUACUGAUUAUGUAAUUGAUAAGGCUUCUGGUCUACAGGUGGCUAUUAGUAGUUAAGUUUUGGGGAGUCGAAAGUUAUACCUGGAUUUUUGACUGUGUGUGGGGUUGGUGCCCCUAACCCCGGCAUUGUGCAAGGGUCAACUCUUAUUUAUUAAGUACCAAUAACUGUCCUAAACACCUUGCAUAUAUUAACUCAUUUAAUUCUCAAAAUAGUCUCAUGUGGUUGCUAUCAUUGUCUCCAUUUUACAGAUAAAGAUGGUCUCACAGAAAAGUCACGCAGCUGGGAAUUGGUAAUACAUGUUACAUAUGAUUUAGAUCUAAUUUUAAAAAUAGUUAAAAUUAAUUUUAGAUUUGUGGUAUUUAAUUUCAAGGCAGAUGAGAACUUGUGAUAGGUUUAUGCUACUUAUUUCCCAAUAUGUAUUCUCCCUUUUGCUGUCAUAACAGAAUCCUGAGGUUUUAGCCCAAUGCGUGCCUGCACAGAAAAAAAACACAUUUUCCUGCCUCUUUUUCAUCUCCAGGUGACUAAAUUCUGGACAAUGUGAGUUAGGUGGAAGUGUAUGGGCAACUUAAAAUGAGAGGCAUGCCCUGUGUUCCCCUUCUCCUGCUCACUGGUGGGGAUGUGAGGAUGUGAGUGUGAUGGCUUGAGCAGCUAUUUUGGGCAAUGAGGAAGCCCACACCCUAAAUGAUACCCCAUUGGGAUAGGAGAGCUGACAGCUGAAAGAAUCACGGUCCCUGUCCAAAUCAUGAAUAUUUAUUUAUUUAUUUUAACUUUUAUUUUUGGUUCCGGGGUACAUGUGCAGAUUUGUUAUAUAGGUAAAUUGUGUGUCACAGAGGUUGUGUGUACAGGUUAUUUUGUCACCCAGGUAAUAAGCAUAGUACCUGAUAGGUAGUUUUUGAUCCCCACCUUCUUCCCAUCCUGCACCCUGAAGUAGUUCUCAGUCUGUUGUUCCCCUGUUUGUACCCAUAUGUACUUGAUGUUUAGCUCCCACUUGUAAGUGAGAACAUGUGGCAUUUGGUUUUCUGUUUCUGUGUUAGUUUGCAUAGGAUAAUGGCCUCCAGCUCCAACUCUUUCAGCUCCAUCCAAGUUGCUGCAAAUGAAUGAUCUCGUUCUUUGUUAUGGCUAUGUAGUAGUCUGUGGUACAUAUACACCACAUUUUCUUUAUCCAGUCUACCAUUCAAAUCAGGAUUUUUUUUUUUUUUUUUUUUUUGAGAUGGAGUCUUGCUCUGUUGCCCAGGCUGGAGUGCAGUGGCGCGAUCUUGGCUCACUUCAAGCUCCACUUCCCGGGUUCAUGCCAUUCUCCUGCCUCAGCCUCCCGAGUAGCUGGGACUACAGGCACCUGCCACCCCACCCAGCUAAUUUUUUGUAUUUUUAGUAGAGACGGGGUUUCACCGUGUUAGCCAGGAUGGUCUCGAUCUUCUGACAUCGUGAUCUGCCCGCCUCGGCCUUCCAAAGUGCUGGGAUUACAGGCGUGAGCCACCGCGCCUGGUCUUUUUUUUUUUUUUUUUCGAGAUAGAGUUCUCGCUCUGUCACCCAGGCUGGAGUGCAAUGGCACAAUCUCAGCUCACUGCAACCUCCGCCUCCCGGGUUCAAGCGAUUCUCCUGCCUCAGCCUCCAGAGUAACUGGUACUACAGGCGCCUGCCACCAUGCCCGGCUAAUUUUUGUAUUUUUAGUAGAGAUGGGGGUUUCACCAUGCUGGCCAGGCUGGUCUCGAACUCCUGACCUCAGGUGAUCCGCCCACGUUGGCCUCCCAAAGUGCUGGGAUUAGAGGCGUGAGCCACUGUGCCAGGCCGGGAAUUUUUAUAUAGAAGAAUAAAACUCUAUCUUUAAGCCAUGUUAAUUAGGGGUUUCUAUC